GCACCCAUAGCUCAGCUGGAUAGAGCGCUGCCCUCCGAAGGCAGAGGUCACAGGUUCGAAUCCUGUUGGGUGCGCCA
RNAcentral lists this transfer RNA (77 nucleotides) under Sphingomonas sp. RNAcentral describes it as "tRNA-Arg". It matches the Rfam family "tRNA". Rfam says of the family: Transfer RNA (tRNA) molecules are approximately 80 nucleotides in length. RNAcentral also lists the same sequence under 7 other names. Lineage: Bacteria; Pseudomonadati; Pseudomonadota; Alphaproteobacteria; Sphingomonadales; Sphingomonadaceae. The record is from RNAcentral.